RNAcentral lists this ribosomal RNA (254 nucleotides) under uncultured bacterium. RNAcentral describes it as "partial 16S ribosomal RNA". It matches the Rfam family "Bacterial small subunit ribosomal RNA", at positions 524 to 776 of the family's 1533-position model. The record is from RNAcentral.
UACGUAGGGUGCGAGCGUUAAUCGGAAUUACUGGGCGUAAAGCGUGCGCAGGCGGUUCGUUGUGUCGGUGGUGAAAGCCCCGGGCUUAACCUGGGAAUGGCCAUGGAAACUGGCGAACUGGAGUGUGGCAGAGGGGGGUGGAAUUCCGCGUGUAGCAGUGAAAUGCGUAGAGAUGCGGAGGAACACCGAUGGCGAAGGCAGCCCCCUGGGCUAGCACUGACGCUCAGGCACGAAAAGCGUGGGGAGCAAACAGG